Molecule: microRNA, 21 nt
Filed under: Bos taurus (domestic cattle)
Lineage: Eukaryota; Metazoa; Chordata; Mammalia; Artiodactyla; Bovidae
Description: bta-miR-2456
Source: miRBase by way of RNAcentral
ACGCACUGUCCUGGGAAGUGG